AUGCUUGCUUCAGCAGCACACAUACUAAAAUUGGAACAAUACAGAGGAGAUUAGCAUGGCCCCUGCGCAAGGAUGACACGCAAAUUUGUGAAGGAUUCCAUAUUUCC
Molecule: small nuclear RNA, 107 nt
Organism: Homo sapiens (human)
Lineage: Eukaryota; Metazoa; Chordata; Mammalia; Primates; Hominidae
Source: Ensembl